AACUAAAGUGGAAUUAUCUAGAUUUCUCUUUAUUUUUCUGCAUUCCCAUCAGCCAAAAAUGUCCUAAGGGUUUCUUCAAGCUGGUUUUUCAUAAUUUUUGCACCAAAUCCGGAAAAUUAAAAUACGAAGCAAGAUCGAGGAAAAGAAAAAGUUCGGGAUUAGUAGAUUUUUGGUUAUGAACAAGUGUCGAGAGUUAAGAGCUCGGAGGUCGGAUUUGGUUGGAGACACAUCACACUAUCAAUCUCGAGAUCUCGGUACAUAAAGGAACUUUAUUUUGGAAAUUAAUGGCAUGUAUAAGCUAGUAAAUUAGAUGUUAAUGUGAAAUGAAUGUAUGGUUAGCCAUUGGUAUGGCUAACAAAUUUUGGUUUUGGUAUGUGAUGAAAUUAUCUUAUGAAUAUGAUAAAUCUAUCUUGAAAAAAAAAUUCGGUAAAAUCUGGUAAUGCCUCAUACUCUAUUUCGGCGACGAGUACGGGUAGGGGGUAUUACAAAUCACAUGCUCAGGAUUUAGGUAAGCCACACUAUGAAUGUCACAAGUGAAUAAAUCUAUAUAAAAUCUAGAACUUAAUUCAACUUGGGUCCUAUCUAAUGUAUUGUCACUCCAAAGAAUCACAUCUAUGUCUCUAUCUUUUAGGAGUCAUCCAUUUUGAUACCCAAGACAAUGUAUCUUCUCAAUUGAAUUUAACAGACGACAUAAUAGCC
Molecule: long non-coding RNA, 699 nt
Organism: Gossypium raimondii (Peruvian cotton)
Lineage: Eukaryota; Viridiplantae; Streptophyta; Magnoliopsida; Malvales; Malvaceae
Exons: 3
Source: RefSeq, a predicted model, not a curated record